GUCUACGGCCACACCACCCUGAAUGUGCCCAGUCUCGUCUGACAUUGGAAGCCAAGCAGGGUUGGGCCCGGUUAGCACUUGGAUAGGAGGAAGCACAACUCAAAACUGGCUUAAUCAAUAAAAGGAAUCUAUUGGUC
Molecule: ribosomal RNA, 137 nt
Filed under: Propithecus coquereli (Coquerel's sifaka)
Lineage: Eukaryota; Metazoa; Chordata; Mammalia; Primates; Indriidae
Source: RNAcentral